Molecule: ribosomal RNA, 1322 nt
Filed under: marine metagenome
Description: bacterial LSU rRNA
Rfam family: Bacterial large subunit ribosomal RNA
Source: RNAcentral
CAUCUAGCGAGAAAUAAGUGACCCGUACCCGAAACCGACACAGGUGGUCAGGUAGAGAAUACCAAGGCGAUCGAGAAAAUUAUGGAUAAGGAACUCGGCAAAAUGCCCCCGUAACUUCGGGAGAAGGGGGGCCCUUUGGCGUGUAGGAGUUUUCCUCCGAAGCGUCGGAAGGCCGCAGAGACCAGGCUCAAGCGACUGUUUACCAAAAACACAGGUCCGUGCGAAGUAGCAAUACGAUGUAUACGGACUGACGCCUGCCCGGUGCUGGAAGGUUAAGGGGACUGGUUAGCCGCAAGGCGAAGCUGAGAACUUAAGCCCCAGUAAACGGCGGUGGUAACUAUAACCAUCCUAAGGUAGCGAAAUUCCUUGUCGGGUAAGUUCCGACCUGCACGAAUGGCGUAACGACUUGAGCGCUGUCUCAUCCGUAAACUCGGCGAAAUUGCAGUACGAGUAAAGAUGCUCGUUACGCGCAGAAAGACGGAAAGACCCCGGGACCUUUACUAUAUCUUGAUAUUGGUGUUCGGAACGGUUUGUGUAGCAUAGGUGGGAGACUUUGAAGCGGGCACGCCAGUGUUUGUGGAGUCGCCAUUGAAAUACCACUCUGAUCGUUUUGAACUUCUAACCUCGGUCCAUAAUCUGGAUCAGGGACAGUGUCUGGUGGGUAGUUUGACUGGGGCGGUCGCCUCCUAAAAAGUAACGGAGGCGCUCAAAGGUUCCCUCAGCCUGGUUGGCAAUCAGGUGUCGAGUGUAAGUGCACAAGGGAGCUUAACUGUGAGACAGACAUGUCGAGCAGGUGCGAAAGCAGGAACUAGUGAUCCGGCGGUGGCUUGUGGAAGCGCCGUCGCUCAACGGAUAAAAGGUACCCCGGGGAUAACAGGCUGAUCUUGCCCAAGAGUCCAUAUCGACGGCAAGGUUUGGCACCUCGAUGUCGGCUCGUCUCAUCCUGGGGCUGGAGUAGGUCCCAAGGGUUGGGCUGUUCGCCCAUUAAAGAGGCACGCGAGCUGGGUUCAGAACGUCGUGAGACAGUUCGGUCCCUAUCUUCUGUGCGCGUAAGAAACUUGAGAAGGGCUGACCCUAGUACGAGAGGACCGGGUCGGACGAACCUCUGGUGUGUCGGUUGUUCCGCCAGGAGCACCGCCGAUUAGCUACGUUCGGAAGGGAUAACCGCUGAAAGCAUCUAAGCGGGAAGCUCGCUUCAAGAUUAGGUUUCUCAUUGGUUUACCAAGUAAGGCCCCCAAUAGACUAUUGGGUUGAUAGGGCGGAAGUGGAAGAGUCGCAAGACUUGGAGCUGACCGCUACUAAUAGGCCGAGGAUUUAACUAC